GGAUGUGAGAGCGAUCUGGCUGCCACAUCUGUCACCCCACUGGUUGCCAGGGUUGAUUUGGCUGAUCUGGCUGGCAAGGCGGGUGUCCCCUUCCUCCCUCACAGCUCCAUGUGCUUCCCUUUCCAAGCUCCUUUGAAGAAAAGGAUCGCCUUCCCAGUAUAAAGACAGACUGAUCUUCCGUUGAGGGUGUACAAGUAGCUGUGCUCCCCUGCUAGAACCUCCAAACAAGCUCUGGAGGUCCUAAAAACACAUAGAACAGAGUAAGAAUGCAGUCGCUUUCUCAUAAAAAUAAAAACUGA
Molecule: unclassified non-coding RNA, 299 nt
Organism: Erinaceus europaeus (western European hedgehog)
Lineage: Eukaryota; Metazoa; Chordata; Mammalia; Eulipotyphla; Erinaceidae
Gene: 7SK
Rfam family: 7SK RNA
About the family: 7SK was discovered as an abundant small nuclear RNA in the mid-70s but a possible function has only recently been suggested. Two independent studies have found that 7SK RNA binds the CDK9/cyclin T complex (known as elongation factor P-TEFb).
Source: Ensembl